This is a long non-coding RNA of Malaclemys terrapin pileata, 390 nucleotides long. RefSeq lists it as uncharacterized. Lineage: Eukaryota; Metazoa; Chordata; Testudines; Emydidae. The record is from RefSeq and is a predicted model, not a curated record. The transcript has 4 exons.
UGUCUUUCCAUCCAGACUCCAUGGAAGACUGGAGACCUGAGCAGGAUUAUGACAUCACAGGUAUCACGGAGACUGAACAACUGUAACAUAAGAAUGACCAGACUGAGUCAGACCAAUGGUCCAGCUAGCCCACUAUCGUGUAUUCCCACCGUGGCCAAUACCAGGUGUUUCAGAGGGAAUGAACAGAACAGGCUUCUCCGAGGAAGACGAGGCACAGGGACAAAAGGAAGAAGCCGAAAGGUUUUGGACGCUGUGAGGAAGGGUUGGAGGAGACUUGUGCACCCCUAGAGACAUGCUGCCUCAUGCACCUGGAGCAGCUCCCCUGGGCUCACCGCCUCAGGAUCAUUGAGAGGAAUAUUCAGUACCUGGCCAGACACCUGGAUGAAGAUC